This 203-nucleotide unclassified non-coding RNA is filed under the name Hevea brasiliensis (rubber tree). Lineage: Eukaryota; Viridiplantae; Streptophyta; Magnoliopsida; Malpighiales; Euphorbiaceae. The record is from RNAcentral.
GAGAUGUAGAGGAGAAGAAGAGAUAGGGGAGAACUUUUUUCUGUAUUGAAAUGAGACCCAAUAAAAUCCACACCCAACAAAGCAACACCCGACUAGAUUGUUACAAAUUUUGCAAAAUUUCCAAUAUGAUUAUAAUAGAACAGAAUUAGAGGGGAAGCAAUGAAAACAAAAAACAAAUAAUAAAAGAAUAUUAAAAAAAAAAA